GACGAACGCUGGCGGCGUGCUUAACACAUGCAAGUCGAACGAUGAAGAAGAGAAACGCGAACUUCGGUUCAACUUUCGCUUCGGAUUAGUGGCAGACGGGUGAGUAACGCGUGAGCAACCUACCUCUUACAAAGGGAUAGCCUCGGGAAACCGUGAUUAAUACCAUAUGACACAUUCAUAAGGCAUCUUAAGAAUGUUAAAGCUACGGCGGUAAGAGAUGGGCUCGCGUCCCAUUAGCUAGUUGGUGAGGUAACGGCCCACCAAGGCGACGAUGGGUAACCGGCCUGAGAGGGUGAACGGUCACAUUGGAACUGAGACACGGUCCAAACUCCUACGGGAGGCAGCAGUGGGGAAUAUUGCACAAUGGAGGGAACUCUGAUGCAGCGACGCCGCGUGAGCGAUGAAGGAAUUCGUUUCGUAAAGCUCUGUUCUAUGGGAAGAAAAGGACUGUACCAUAGGAGAAAGCCCCGGCUAAAUACGUG
RNAcentral lists this ribosomal RNA (482 nucleotides) under uncultured bacterium. RNAcentral's name for it is "partial 16S ribosomal RNA". It matches the Rfam family "Bacterial small subunit ribosomal RNA", at positions 28 to 507 of the family's 1533-position model. The record is from RNAcentral.